RNAcentral lists this ribosomal RNA (253 nucleotides) under uncultured bacterium. RNAcentral's name for it is "partial 16S ribosomal RNA". It matches the Rfam family "Bacterial small subunit ribosomal RNA", at positions 524 to 776 of the family's 1533-position model. The record is from RNAcentral.
UACGUAGGGGGCAAGCGUUGUCCGGAAUCAUUGGGCGUAAAGAGCGUGUAGGCGGCCCGAUAAGUCCGCUGUGAAAGUCCAGGGCUCAACCCUGGAAUGCCGGUGGAUACUGUCGGGCUCGAAUCUGGAAGAGGUGAGUGGAAUUCCUGGUGUAGCGGUGAAAUGCGCAGAUAUCAGGAGGAACACCAAUGGCGAAGGCAGCUCACUGGGACGGUAUUGACGCUGAGACGCGAAAGCGUGGGGAGCAAACAGG